This 512-nucleotide long non-coding RNA is filed under the name Octopus vulgaris (common octopus). Lineage: Eukaryota; Metazoa; Mollusca; Cephalopoda; Octopoda; Octopodidae. The record is from RNAcentral.
AAAGAAAGGAAAACGAGUGAGAUAAUGGAAGAGAAAGAGAGACGAAACAAAGAUGAAUGGAAAGAUGGCUGGGGAGAGAGAAUUAAGAGAGAAAGAAGACAAAGGGGAUGGGAGAGAAAGAUGGAUAGAAAGAUACUGAGAGAUAGGACAGAGAGAGACGAAUGAGAAGAGAGAUAGAAGAUAGAGAGAGAUAGUGCAUUAGAGAUAGAGAGAGAGAUGAAGAAGGAAGCUGAUAUAUGAAACACUGACAGACGGACGACAUUGUACGGUGGUGGAUGUUGCGUGUGUAAUAUUAUUAUUAGCAUCAUCUCACGUUGUAAUGAUAAUAUUGUCGUAAAGUAGCCGUGUGCUGGAGUUCCAUCCUCAUCGCCAACAUAACCAGCCAGGCCAACUUAUGAAUUUGGCUUCGAUGGUCGUCACCUAAAAAAGGCAACCAAACAAACACACUCGAUUGAUAUUUACAGACCUCAUGUCACCCUCGGCCAAAUUUUGGAUCCUCGCUCCGAUCAAGG